CCUACGGGAGGCAGCAGUGAGGAAUAUUGGUCAAUGGGCUUACGCCUGAACCAGCCAAGUCGCGUGAGGGAAGACUGCCCUAUGGGUUGUAAACCUCUUUUGUCAGGGAGCAACGCCGGCUACGUGUAGCCGGACUGAGAGUACCUGAAGAAAAGGCAUCGGCUAACUCCGUGCCAGCAGCCGCGGUAAUACGGAGGAUGCGAGCGUUAUCCGGAUUUAUUGGGUUUAAAGGGUGCGUAGGCGGAAUGCCAAGUCAGCGGGAAAAUCGCGGGGCUCAACCUCGCUCCGCCGUUGAAACUGGCGUUCUUGAGUGGGCGAGAAGUAUGCGGAAUGCGUGGUGUAGCGGUGAAAUGCAUAGAUAUCACGCAGAACUCCGAUUGCGAAGGCAGCAUACCGGCGCCCAACUGACGCUGAAGCACGAAAGCGUGGGUAUCGAACAGGAUUAGAUACCCCAGUAGUC
This 460-nucleotide ribosomal RNA is filed under the name uncultured bacterium. RNAcentral describes it as "partial 16S ribosomal RNA". It matches the Rfam family "Bacterial small subunit ribosomal RNA", at positions 338 to 795 of the family's 1533-position model. The record is from RNAcentral.